CCAACCUAUGGCUGGAAUGGAUUCAGUAUACAGCUAGAUCAGUAGCUAAAGAAGAAUGUUAUGGCUGCGCAACAGCCAAAACCUCAGUUGACAACCAUCCCCUUUCCACUCGAUGGAAUUGAUUUACCAAGGGGAAUGGCCUGUAUGGUAAAGCUGGUCAUGAAGGCAGGGAAGCCAGACAGGGAAAGCCAGACAAUAACAGUUGUACUGAUCUGCAUUAUCUGUAUCCUAUGUGCCCAUUAGAUCCAGACUUCCCCCUUUCACAGUCGCAGGAGGAGACUAUUAUUGUAUGGCUUGACACAAUAUACACGGACGGGAUGUAGGGGAAGUGAGAACACGCAAAAGAACAGAGAGGGAGAAGGAGUGUUCCGUCUGGGUCCUUAGACGAUAGAGCUUACAUUGAUAGCAUUGGGGUUCCAAGGGGGGUGCCUAAUGAGUUUAAAGCUAGGAAUCAGAUAUUGGCUGGAUUAGAAUCAAGCAUCUUCUGGUGGUCAACCCUCAAUAGAAAUGUAGAUUGGAUAAAUUAUAUUUAUUAUAACCAACAGCAGUUCAUCAACUAUACUAGAGAUGCAAUAAAAGGAUUAGCAGAACAGACAGAGGCAACUAGUUUGAUGGCUUGGCAGAAUAGAAUAGCAUUGGAUAUGUUACUGGUGGAGAAGGGUGGUGUGUGUGUGUGAUAUUCGGAUCAAUGUGCUGUACUUUCAUCCCAAAUAACACAGCUCCAGAUGGAUCAGUGGCCAAGGCCCUGGCAGGUUUAACCACAUUGGCUAACGAGUUAGUAGAGAACUCUGGGGUGGAUACCUCACUGACUGGGUGAUGCGAUGGUAUGUUUGGAAAAAUUGAAAAAUGUUAUAAUCACUGUGUUGUGGGCUUCUUUCACCGGUAUGAGUGUGUUGAUAUUGUGUGAUUGAUGAAUAUAUGCCAAGUAUGAAAGUUUUAAUCACCAGAAUUCUGGAGAGAUUGAUAACGGAGCAGAUGGUGAGGUACGGAUCGAGUCCAAGUUCAGACCUGUGGGACGGCUGCCUGUAUAAUCCCUUGCUUAAGAAAGUCUCUUACAGAUGUUGUCAGAGCUGCAGGACCAGUAUGAGGCUACGGAUAUGUCAGGAGCAUGAGGACGCAGACACCCCGUUAUCCUGGGAGUGCGAUGGCCGCCUUGAUCGACUACAUUCAGCGCAGAGACUAGGAGGGGGUAGCUGCUGUGUCCAGGCCCGCCGCAGCCAGCACCACCCCCGCCAGCACCACCCGGCCCAAGAGCUUCUUGGUCCUGCGAUCUCUGCAUUCCUUUCAAGGCGCUCUCUCGCCCAGGUGAACUGCAGGCGAAGAUGAAGAAAUAGGGGUGUCUUUCCCUCGACCAGCACUGCCACCAACAGAUCAAUCGGACGCAGAGCUGGUCAAAGCUGCUGCUGACAUAGACACAUGUAUGUUUUUACGUCACUAUUAAUUGACAGGAAAUUCGAUACGUUUUGAUAAGUAUUCAGUUAAAUUUUCUUGACAUAUUAAAGUGUGUUAAAUUUGUCGCUAUCGUCAGCCCAAGGAAAUGUAUUGGUAAGAGUCAUCUGGGUUUAGAGAAGAGUCACUGCAUGUAUGAACUAUUAACUGAAUCACUGUUAUCUUCAUUUGUAAUAUGUCUGUCCAUUCAUGCUUGCAUUUAUUUUAUUUAUUAAUUCAUUCAUUUAACCUAUUUAUUUCUGUCACUGCAAAAGCCGUAGCCCUACAGGUCCCCCGAUCGCUCCCUCGGCCUCUGCCCCCAACUGACCAAGCCCCGGUUCCUGCCCCGGUUCCUAUAAUUACUCCACAUUGUUAAGAUAUUAAACACUAUACCAAAUUGGACCGCUAGCGUCCCACAUACCCCAGAGAGGUUAACACUAGUAUAUAGAUUCCUAAAAACAGUAGUGCAACACUAAAUCAAUGACGAUAUAAUUUUCAAUUGUCUUUUUUUGUACAUUUGUGGACAUUUGCGAACAUGUGCAUGGCUCCCGUUGAUGACCUCACAGCAUUAACACAAUUUAGAAAAUAAAUACAAUACAAUAGUUCACUCUUAAAAGUAGUGUAACACAUCUCAAAAUAACCUUAAAACAAUUAUAAUAAAUAUGAGGGAUUUUCGGUGAAAUACAUAAGGUAUAUGUUAUACCUGUAAAACGUACGUAGCAUUUGCUUCGGCACAGGUGUUGUGCUGAAAAUCUCCCCUCUGCCAGAAUCCCCCCCUUCGCGUUCUUCAUUGCUGCGACUUGAUUGCUAGUUGUCGUUUCUGCUCUCCACUCCUUUGUCAGUUUAGCGUACAUUUCACUGAUCUUAGUAGCAGAAAGCAUUUUUGUCUGCAGUUUUCGGUUUGGCUAUUUGUUUCAAGUGUAUGUAGCGGUUCUAGCUUGUAUGGCGCCCGCCUCGCCCACACCCGGGAGUGCCCCUUGUCGCCCCCGGCAAGAUGCCCCUGGGCGGCUGCCUAAGUCGCCUGUACCUAAAUCCGCUACUGAUUUUUGUAUUAGUCUAUAAAUAAAUCUCUUUGCCAAAAAUCGUCACAUCUCCAAUGUCUUAUUCAACUAGUAUUUUUGAAAGUGUAAGGAUAAUAAUUCAUAGUUGUUCUGAAAUGUUUAUUGCUUGCCAACAUUUUACUCCCUCCUCUAUGUUUAAUAUAACACACAUACAUUCAUUAUUAAUUUUGGUUGCCUAUCCUGACGUGAAGUUUGUUCUAUAGAAAGUAUUUGACUCUGAUGUGUGUCACAGAAAGUAUUUGACUCGAGCCA
RNAcentral lists this long non-coding RNA (2741 nucleotides) under Salmo salar (Atlantic salmon). RNAcentral describes it as "lncRNA (ENSSSAG00000095550.1)". Lineage: Eukaryota; Metazoa; Chordata; Actinopteri; Salmoniformes; Salmonidae. The record is from RNAcentral.